UAUCUUUCAAAUAUCAUUGAAAUAUCUGGUUCAACAAGAAGACAACGUCAUCAAUAUCCCCCUCAAUGGCAAAAUACUCUUCAUGAUUAUGUCUACGAGUUAUGAUUAUGUCAAAUAAUUAGGUGUGUAUAUAGAAAAGUGG
This is a long non-coding RNA of Haliotis rubra (blacklip abalone), 142 nucleotides long. RefSeq lists it as uncharacterized. The transcript is spliced from 4 exons. The record is from RefSeq and is a predicted model, not a curated record. Lineage: Eukaryota; Metazoa; Mollusca; Gastropoda; Lepetellida; Haliotidae.